This 300-nucleotide ribosomal RNA is filed under the name uncultured Sphaerobacter sp. RNAcentral's name for it is "bacterial SSU rRNA". It matches the Rfam family "Bacterial small subunit ribosomal RNA", at positions 496 to 795 of the family's 1533-position model. The record is from RNAcentral. Lineage: Bacteria; Pseudomonadati; Thermomicrobiota; Thermomicrobia; Sphaerobacterales; Sphaerobacteraceae.
GCUAACUACGGGCCAGCAGCCGCGGUAAGACGGAGGGGCCGAGCGUUGUCCGGAGUUACUGGGCGUAAAGGGCGCGCAGGCGGCCGGUCGCAUCGGCGGUGAAAGCCCCCCGCUCAACGGGGGAGGGUCCGUCGAGAUGGAUCGGCUGGAGGCAGGGAGAGGGCGGUGGAAUUCCGGGUGUAGUGGUGAAAUGCGUAGAGAUCCGGAGGAACACCAGUGGCGAAGGCGGCCGCCUGGACCUGACCUGACGCUGAGGCGCGAAGGCGUGGGGAGCGAACGGGAUUAGAUACCCUUGUAGUC